Molecule: long non-coding RNA, 557 nt
Filed under: Homo sapiens (human)
Lineage: Eukaryota; Metazoa; Chordata; Mammalia; Primates; Hominidae
Description: non-protein coding lnc-LRRC3-3:2
Source: RNAcentral
CUCAAUGCUGCUGGCCACCUGGAUCCUCACACACACUCGGGCGCACACACAGGCACACACACACACUCUCACUCUCCCUGUACACACACACACACAUGCUUACUCUCCCUGUACACACACACACACACGCUCACUCUCCCUGUACACACACAUUCUCCCUGUACACACACACUCUCCCUGUACACACACACACAUGCUCACUCUCCCUGUACACACACACUCUCCCUGUACACACACACACAUGCUCACUCUCCCUGUACACACACAUUCUCCCUGUACACACACACUCUCCCUGUACACACACACACAUGCUCACUCUCUCUGUACACACACGCGCAUGCUCACUCUCCUUGUACACACACUCCCUGUACACACACUCCCUGUACACACACACACGCUCACUCUCCCUGUACACACACAUUCUCCCUGUACACACACACUCUCCCUGUACACACACACACAUGCUCACUCUCCCUGUACACACACACACUCUCCCUGUACACACACACACAUGCUCACUCUCCCUGUACACACACACACGCUCACUCUCCCUGUAC